UGGUUUGGCGCUUACGGCUCUGUUGUCCGUGGCGACGCCGGAGACGACGAACAUGAGGUUGAAGGAGAUGAUGAACUCGACGACGAGCGACUGCGCGUCCGAGCCGGCGGGCACCGUGCCGAAGAAGUGCUCCCGCGCGCUCCCGAACAGGAGGCGCAGCGUCAGGCUGGCCGCCGUGGCCCCCGUGACCUGCGCCGCCGCGUACGCCGGCACCUGCCUCCAGGGGAAGCGGCCGCAGGUGGCGAAGGCGAGGGAGACGGCCGGGUUGAGGUGCGCGCCGGAGAUGUGGCCCACGGAGUACACCAUCACCAUCACGGCCAGGCCCCACACGGCGCAGAUGCCCGGGAACGUCACCGUGCCGCCCGUCCGCAGGUUCACCGCCACCGCCGCGCACCCGGCGAAGAUCAGGAAGUAGGUCCCCAACGCCUCCGCCAGGAUCUGCAACCACCCCAAUUAAACGUACGUCGUGUCGUCGCACACGCACACUCACGUCACACAAACCAUCAAGAAAGCUACCUUCUGCACGAACGGCACGGAGAACAUGGGGCGGCGACCGGCUCCGUCCUGCUCCGAGCUCUCACACCCCGCUCCAUCGACUCCGCCUCCUCUGCCUUCCUCCAAAUCCAGGGCGCCGUCGUGCACGCCGUUGGCAACCUCUGCUCCUGCCAUCUCUGCC
RNAcentral lists this unclassified non-coding RNA (676 nucleotides) under Zea mays. RNAcentral describes it as "misc RNA Zm00001eb283970". Lineage: Eukaryota; Viridiplantae; Streptophyta; Magnoliopsida; Poales; Poaceae. The record is from RNAcentral.